UACGAAGGGGGCUAGCGUUGUUCGGAUUUACUGGGCGUAAAGCGCACGUAGGCGGUUUGUUAAGUCAGGGGUGAAAAUCCCACAGCUCAACUGUGGAACUGCCUUUGAUACUGGCAAGCUAGAGUCCGGAAGAGGUAAGUGGAACUCCUAGUGUAGAGGUGGAAUUCGUAGAUAUUAGGAAGAACACCAGUGGCGAAGGCGGCUUACUGGUCCGGAACUGACGCUGAGGUGCGAAAGCGUGGGGAGCAAACAGG
RNAcentral lists this ribosomal RNA (254 nucleotides) under uncultured bacterium. RNAcentral's name for it is "partial 16S ribosomal RNA". It matches the Rfam family "Bacterial small subunit ribosomal RNA", at positions 524 to 776 of the family's 1533-position model. The record is from RNAcentral.